Molecule: ribosomal RNA, 443 nt
Filed under: uncultured bacterium
Lineage: Bacteria
Description: bacterial SSU rRNA
Rfam family: Bacterial small subunit ribosomal RNA
Source: RNAcentral
GAGCGGUAUUGUUUCCUCGGAAACGAGAGAGCGGCGCACGGGUGCGGAACACGUGUGCAACCUGCCUUUAUCUGGGGGAUAGCCUUUCGAAAGGAAGAUUAAUACCCCAUAAUAUUUUGAAUGGCAUCAUUUAAAAUUGAAAACUCCGGUGGAUAGAGAUGGGCACGCGCAAGAUUAGAUAGUUGGUAGGGUAACGGCCUACCAAGUCAGUGAUCUUUAGGGGGCCUGAGAGGGUGAUCCCCCACACUGGUACUGAGACACGGACCAGACUCCUACGGGAGGCAGCAGUGAGGAAUAUUGGACAAUGGGUGAGAGCCUGAUCCAGCCAUCCCGCGUGAAGGACGACGGCCCUAUGGGUUGUAAACUUCUUUUGUACAGGGAUAAACCUUUCCACGUGUGGAAAGCUGAAGGUACUGUACGAAUAAGCACCGGCUAACUCCGUG